This is a long non-coding RNA of Gordionus sp. m RMFG-2023, 457 nucleotides long. RefSeq lists it as uncharacterized. The transcript is spliced from 3 exons. Lineage: Eukaryota; Metazoa; Nematomorpha; Gordioida; Chordodea; Parachordodidae. The record is from RefSeq and is a predicted model, not a curated record.
GUCAAUCACUUUUAUAAUAAAAUAGCAAUUUAAAGUUAAAUUUAUGGGAUGGUAUGAAAUAGUUCCAAGUUUUGUCUUGUACGCCACAUUUUUUGUGGCUCCAGCUUUCAUACUACCAGCAAUUCAUCUUGUUUUUAUUCAUAAGCCAAAUGCGCGACACGUUGCUGGUUAUUUUAAUAGGCCUAUGUUAAAAAGAGAUAUUAGAUUAACUAAUGGAAACCCAGAAAAUCAUAUUGGACUUGAAAAAUUGCAAAGUAAAGAAGAAAUUGCUGCCUUAUAUUUGAAUUUAAUCAAAAACUAAUAUGUAGAUUUUAAUAUAUACAAUGGCAUAUUUAUUUUAUAAUGCUUGGUGCAAAUUAUAAUAAAUUCAGAUUUAUUGGUGAUUAAUAUUGAUUUUAAUUGUGAAAAAUUAACUAUAAACAUCAAUAUGCUUGAUAUUUCAUACAAUAAAGAAAAG